This 446-nucleotide ribosomal RNA is filed under the name uncultured bacterium. RNAcentral's name for it is "SSU rRNA". It matches the Rfam family "Bacterial small subunit ribosomal RNA", at positions 26 to 518 of the family's 1533-position model. The record is from RNAcentral.
AGAAUGAACGCUGGCGGCAUGCCUAACACAUGCAAGUCGAACGAAGCCUUCGGGUUUAGUGGCGCACGGGUGCGUAACGCGUGGGAAUCUACCCCUUGGUUCGGAAUAACAGUUGGAAACGACUGCUAAUACCGGAUGAUGACGUAAGUCCAAAGAUUUAUCGCCGAGGGAUGAGCCCGCGUAGGAUUAGGUAGUUGGUGUGGUAAAGGCGCACCAAGCCGACGAUCCUUAGCUGGUCUGAGAGGAUGAUCAGCCACACUGGGACUGAGACACGGCCCAGACUCCUACGGGAGGCAGCAGUGGGGAAUAUUGGACAAUGGGCGAAAGCCUGAUCCAGCAAUGCCGCGUGAGUGAUGAAGGCCUUAGGGUUGUAAAGCUCUUUUACCCGGGAUGAUAAUGACAGUACCGGGAGAAUAAGCUCCGGCUAACUCCGUGCCAGCAGCCGC